This 466-nucleotide ribosomal RNA is filed under the name uncultured bacterium. RNAcentral describes it as "partial 16S ribosomal RNA". It matches the Rfam family "Bacterial small subunit ribosomal RNA", at positions 28 to 507 of the family's 1533-position model. The record is from RNAcentral.
GACGAACGCUGGCGGCGCGCCUAACACAUGCAAGUCGAACGAGCGAGAGAGAGCUUGCUUUCUUGAGCGAGUGGCGAACGGGUGAGUAACGCGUGAGGAACCUGCCUCAAAGAGGGGGACAACAGUUGGAAGCGACUGCUAAUACCGCAUAAGCCCACGGUGCCGCAUGGCACAGAGGGAAAAGGAGCAAUCCGCUUUGAGAUGGCCUCGCGUCCGAUUAGCUAGUUGGUGAGGUAACGGCCCACCAAGGCGACGAUCGGUAGCCGGACUGAGAGGUUGAACGGCCACAUUGGGACUGAGACACGGCCCAGACUCCUACGGGAGGCAGCAGUGGGGAAUAUUGCACAAUGGGGGAAAACCUGAUGCAGCGACGCCGCGUGGAGGAAGAAGGUCUUCGGAUUGUAAACUCCUGUUGUUGGGGAAGAUAAUGACGGUACCCAACAAGGAAGUGACGGCUAACUACGUG